RNAcentral lists this ribosomal RNA (315 nucleotides) under Triticum aestivum (bread wheat). RNAcentral describes it as "partial small subunit ribosomal RNA". Lineage: Eukaryota; Viridiplantae; Streptophyta; Magnoliopsida; Poales; Poaceae. The record is from RNAcentral.
AUGGAGCAAGGCCGUCGCGAAGCCGCCGUCGCGGGCGGAGAUCUGCAGAAGACGGGCGCGGAGACCGUGGCAGAUGCCGUGCAGACCCUCGUCGGCGGCGCGGGUGCAGGAGCUGCUGCAUCCCCACGCGUUGGAUCGGUCGCUGCGGCGGCGGAUCCGGAGGAGAAGAAGGUGGCCGUGGCGGACUCCGCCGUGGCGGACUCAGCCAUGCCGGUGCUUGGCGUGACGGCGUCGAGCGGCCCGUCUGAUGGACCUGCGGAGGCCGGCGGCGAGCACGUGGACCUGCAGGUAAUCCUUGCCAGCAGUCCCCUCUGA